This 72-nucleotide ribozyme is filed under the name unclassified sequences. RNAcentral describes it as "HDV ribozyme from F. prausnitzii". It matches the Rfam family "HDV ribozyme from F. prausnitzii". The record is from RNAcentral.
GCUGCUCGAAACUUUGCACACCUCUUCGUGGUGAGCGGCAGGCAACACAGUGAUGUGGCUAAGAAUGCAAAG